UAGUAUGGGGAUCUGCCCGAUAGAGGGGGAUAACUACUGGAAACGGUGGCUAAUACCGCAUAAUGUCUACGGACCAAAGCAGGGGCUCUUCGGACCUUGCACUAUCGGAUGAACCCAUAUGGGAUUAGCUAGUAGGUGGGGUAAAGGCUCACCUAGGCGACGAUCUCUAGCUGAUCUGAGAGGAUGAUCAGCCACACUGGGACUGAGACACGGCCCAG
RNAcentral lists this ribosomal RNA (218 nucleotides) under uncultured bacterium. RNAcentral's name for it is "partial 16S ribosomal RNA". It matches the Rfam family "Bacterial small subunit ribosomal RNA", at positions 113 to 334 of the family's 1533-position model. The record is from RNAcentral.